Long non-coding RNA from Oncorhynchus tshawytscha (Chinook salmon), 1869 nucleotides. NCBI's taxonomy places the organism in Eukaryota, Metazoa, Chordata, Actinopteri, Salmoniformes, Salmonidae. The record is from Ensembl.
AGAGAGAGAGAAAGAGGAGAGGUGACGCGAGAGAGACAAGGAAGGACCGCACCAUACAGUCUCAGAGAUCGGUUUCUGUAAGAGUCCACUACGUGAGAUAGAUCUGUACUCUCUCUCUACCAGUGUUUCUCUAUGGUCAUUCCACCGUGGAUGGGCACUAACAUACAGCUCAUUGAGAAUCUACUGUUGUAGGGAAGACUCGGAGAGUCCAGCCUCUUCAGACCAGACUUGAUGGGAACAUACUGUUUGGAAAGAGUGGAUGAUGGAUUACACGGACUGUUAGAACAAUUAAUCACACAGGUGAGACAGGGAGAGACUCUGAGAAGAUGAUAGCAUACGUGGACUGUCUGUCCACCGAGCCGGUGGUAGGAGGAGGCGUGGGGGCUCAAUGCUGGAAGGGGGGCUUCAGCGAGGAUGAGGACGAGCUGCUUCCGGCCUGCUCGAAAGAUGUUCAAAAGAUGCUCUACCUGCAGCCCAAGAGCGAGGGCAGUCUGAGACGUCGGCUGCUCACCUCCAAGAUCCACCAGCAACGAGACGGACCGUGGGCGUCCAGGCCACUCGCCCGGGGACAACCGGACAACAAUGGCAUCCAGGGGCCACUACACAGACAGGACUUCCCCUACCCUGGCCCCAGCCCCCCCGGCCUGGUGCGCCACCAUCGAGCAGGCUACUCCUCCAGGGGCUCCCAGCAGCACACGCACGGCCACUGCCUGACCCAGCUACGGAAGACCAGCUACUCUCCCCCCACACCCGACCAUCAUCCUGGGUACAGCUUCCCCCCACCACCUCUUUCUCCUCCAGGAGCAGCCAGCUACAGUCACACCGGACCUUCAGGAUACCCAAACCCUGGACCCCCAGGAUAUCCAAACUCUGGACUCCAAGGCUACCCUAAUCGUGGAUCUGCUGGGUACCCCAACUCUAACCCAAGACACUGUAACCCAGCCUACAACACCAACCCCAGCAGCAGCCCUAACCCAGGACACUAUAACCCAGCCUACAAAACCAACCCCAGCAGCAACCUUAACCCAGGACACUGUAACCCAGCCUACAAAACCAACCCCAGCAGCAGCCUUAACCCAGGACACUAUAACCCAGCCUACAACACCAACCCCAGCAGCAGCCCUAACCCAGGAUGCCAAAACACUGCCCAAGGACACAGCAACACUUACCUCAACUCUGGAUAUCCUUCCCCAAGACUGGGAUACGGCCCUCCCUCCCUCCCAGGACCAGGCUACAGCUCUGGGUUUGCUCCCCAGUCCCAGCCCAGCCUCCCCACUCCACCACCAAAGCAGAGAAAGAGGUUCUAUAACCUGCUCCGACGGCGCAGCUACAACACCAGCCAGAUCCCCUUCUCACACACCCCCCUCUUACACACACCCAAACGUCAAGACUGGAGAGCUGUCAGACUGGAUGAGGACAAAAAGUGGUCGGUACACUACACUUCCCAGAAGCCUCAGCAGGAGACACGACCCUCUUGUGUGGAUGACCGCCGCACCGUACUCAGAGAGUGCAGCAAGAAGCUCAGGAGAGUUGGGUAUGGCAGUUCACAGUACUUCUCCCAAAACCCUGCCUACCUCAGCCCCAGCCUAUCAGAGAACAGGCUGCAUGAUGACAUGGGCAGGAACGACAGACACCGGAAAAGGUAAACACACACACACACACACACAGACACAGACACACACACAUGCACACGCACAAAACACGCUCACACACACACACACACACACACACAGACACAGACACACACACACACACACACACACACAAACUCUCCCUCUGGGGAAGACUUAAUAUAAACUAAUGAUUGCAACACAACCUCAUCACAACUUUAAUCACAAUCCAAACAAGAUAUCAGAUAAGAUAUAAGGG